Molecule: ribosomal RNA, 415 nt
Filed under: Babesia vogeli
Lineage: Eukaryota; Apicomplexa; Aconoidasida; Piroplasmida; Babesiidae
Description: SSU rRNA
Rfam family: Eukaryotic small subunit ribosomal RNA
Source: RNAcentral
GACACAGGGAGGUAGUGACAAGAAAUAACAAUACAGGGCUAAUGUCUUGUAAUUGGAAUGAUGGUGACCCAAACCCUCACCAGAGUAGCAAUUGGAGGGCAAGUCUGGUGCCAGCAGCCGCGGUAAUUCCAGCUCCAAUAGCGUAUAUUAAACUUGUUGCAGUUAAAAAGCUCGUAGUUGAAUUUUAGCGUGUUCGAGUUUGCCAUUCGUUUGGCUUUUUCGAGUUCGCUUUUGGGUUUUCCCUUUUUACUUUGAGAAAAUUAGAGUGUUUCAAGCAGACUUUUGUCUUGAAUACUUCAGCAUGGAAUAAUAGAGUAGGACUUUGGUUCUAUUUUGUUGGUUAUUGAACCUUAGUAAUGGUUAAUAGGAACGGUUGGGGGCAUUCGUAUUUAACUGUCAGAGGUGAAAUUCUUAG